Molecule: ribosomal RNA, 494 nt
Filed under: uncultured soil bacterium
Lineage: Bacteria
Description: bacterial SSU rRNA
Rfam family: Bacterial small subunit ribosomal RNA
Source: RNAcentral
AGAUUGAACGCUGGCGGAAUGCUUUACACAUGCAAGUCGAACGGCAGCACGGGGGCAACCCUGGUGGCGAGUGGCGCACGGGUGAGUAAUACAUCGGAACGUAUCCUAGAGUGGGGGAUAGCCCGGCGAAAGCCGGAUUAAUACCGCAUACGCUCGAAAGAGGAAAGUGGGGGAUCGUAAGACCUCACGCCCAAGGAGCGGCCGAUGCCGGAUUAGCUUGUUGGUGAGGUAAAAGCUCACCAAGGCGACGAUCCGUAGCUGGUCUGAGAGGACGACCAGCCACACUGGGACUGAGACACGGCCCAGACUCCUACGGGAGGCAGCAGUGGGGAAUUUGGACAAUGGGGGAAACCCUGAUCCAGCCAUUCCGCGUGAGUGAAGAAGGCCUUCGGGUGUAAAGCUCUUUCGGCAGGAACGAAACGGUUUGGUUAAUACCUCAGACUACUGACGUACCUGAAGAAGAAGCACCGGCUAACUACGUGUACAGCAGCCGC